UUAAAAAAUUUUCUUGAUCAUUUAAUAUUAUUGAUUAUUUUUUAAAAAUUGUAUAAAAAAAAUAUUUUAUUUUGUAUUAUUUUUUUUGAAUUAUAUUGGGUUAUUAGAGUGUAAAGUAUAAAAAUAGAAUUAUUUGUUGAAAUUAAAAGAUGAAAUUAAUAUUUUUACCUUUUGUAUCAGGGUUUAAAGAAAAUUUAUUGGAUAAUUGUUUCUCGAAAAAUUAAGAUUUAAUUUACUUUGCUUUAUGAUGUUGAAAAAUUAUAUUAAAAAGUAUGUUGGAAAUGAAAAGUUAAACGUUUAAUUGGGAUUCUAGUUUCUGGUGAAAUUAAUUUAAUUAAGAAUUUAAUUUUAAAUAUUUUUUGUUUAUUUACUGUAGUUGAAUUUUAAAUUAUAAAGAGUUUAGUUUUUAUAAAUUUUAUAUUAAGUUAAAUGUUAAUAUAUUUAGACUUGAAAUUGGUUAAAAUAAAGAAUUUUUUAUAAAUGUGAAUUUAAUUAUUUUUAUUUAUUUUUAAUUGAAUUUAUAAUCAGAUGUUUUUUUAAAUUUUUUAAAAAAAGAAAUAAUUUUAAAAUUAGUAAACUAAUAAAUUUAAAUAUAGUAACUCGGCAAAUAGAAUUUCUGCCUGUUUAUCAAAAACAUGUCUUUAAGAUAGAUUUUAAAGUCCAAUCUGCUCACUGAUUUUUUAAAGAGCCGCAGUAUUUUGACUGUGCAAAGGUAGCAUAAUCAAUAGUCUUUUAAUUGGGGACUGGGAUGAAAGAUUAGACAAGAAAUUAACUUUCUUUAUUUUAGUAAGUUUAAUUUAAAAUUUAAGUAAAAAUUCUUAAAUGCUAUUAAAAGACGAGAAGACCCUAUAGAUUUUUAUUAAUAUUUGGUGUUAUUAAAAUUAAAUAUUAAAUAUUAAUUUAAUUGGGGCGAUGUUGUAAAAUGAUUAACUUAAUUUUGUUAGACCAUAUAUUAUUGAAGCUUUUGAUCUAAAAAUUUUAAUUGAAAGAUAAAUUACCUUAGGGAUAACAGCGUAAUUUUUUUUAAGAGUUCAUAUCUAUAAAAAAGUUUGCGACCUCGAUGUUGAAUUAAGAAAAAUGUUGGAGUAGAAGCUAACAUUAUUUAGUCUGUUCGACUAUUUAAUUCUUACAUGAUUUGAGUUCAGACCGGCGUGAGCCAGGUCAGUUUCUAUCUUUAAAUUAUUUUUAUAAGUAAGUACGAAAGGACAAUUUAUUAAUAAAAUUUAUUUGAAAUUG
RNAcentral lists this ribosomal RNA (1236 nucleotides) under Nepiomorpha sp. NespEL. RNAcentral describes it as "16S ribosomal RNA". The stretch from base 829 to 1178 matches the Rfam family "Archaeal large subunit ribosomal RNA", at positions 2150 to 2716 of the family's 2987-position model. Lineage: Eukaryota; Metazoa; Arthropoda; Insecta; Psocodea; Elipsocidae. The record is from RNAcentral.